This is a non-coding RNA of Aegilops tauschii subsp. strangulata, 1574 nucleotides long. The record is from RefSeq and is a predicted model, not a curated record. Lineage: Eukaryota; Viridiplantae; Streptophyta; Magnoliopsida; Poales; Poaceae.
CCCCCUGUUUGGCCCCCUCGAUCCGUCGCCGUAUGUUGCCUGCGCUCGCCGAGGCCACCAUGGCCGAAGCUUCGUGUCCGCGCGCGCCCGCAUGCCCCUGUCGCCUACAGCCGUGACCUUGCGCCUGUGCCCGCCGUCUUGCGCCUGCUGCCGCCUGCUCGUCGGCCGUGCCCCGCUCGUGCCGGCGCGCCCCCUCGCUCACGUACUGUUACCGCUGCUCCUGCUAUCUUCUACUGCCUGCUGCUGCAUACUGCUGCGGCUCGCCAGAUGCCGCAGCUGCUCACUGCUUCUGCUACUCUUGUGCUGCUGAUGCUCCCCUGCCGCUGCUUGGUAGCGCCGUUGCCGCUACUGGUUUUUGCUGCUGUUGCAUCCUGUCCAUGGCAACCCAGCUUCAGUCGUCAACCUGAGGUGCUCUGGGCUCAAUGCUCGAAAAAGGUUUACCUGACUAUCUCAGUCCCAGAUUCAGAAGAUGUUGUGAUCAAGACUGAACCUCAGGGCAUCUUUAGCUUCUCAGCUGUUGCUCAUGGGGAAUCUUUUAGCUUGGCUUUGGAGCUAUUCGAUUCCGUACUGCCUGAGGUCGCGGAGGUUUUGCUAGUUGGUUGUAGCCGCAAUACAUACUAUCUUGGUUUAGUUUAGUGGCAAAUAGAGACGUUUCUCUAGGACUGUGUUAUGUGAUUGAUAGGUCACUUCACUGUCCCAUGACAAGCAUCGCAGAAAAGGUUGUGGAUUUCUAGGAAGAGCGAGCUGCUGUAUAUGUAAUGCAUGAUAAUCAUAAUAACCAUUGGACCUCCUGGACUCACAUGAUAGCAAGAUGCUAGACUAAUGCUGAUUUCUGAGCGGCUACAGAAAGGUUGGAAGCAGCCUACCCAACAAUAAAUGAGCUGGCUCUUGUUGGUGCUCUAAGGCUGUGAAGCAAGCAUCGCAGCAGCUUUUGCCGUUGGCUGUGAAGGCAAAUCAAGAAAGUGAGUAUUAUAUUCAGAUAAUGCAGAGCUUACGUGUGUAUUAUAUUCAGAUAAUGCAGAGCUUGACAAGGAGGCAACUGAUGUGUUCAUUUGGUGCUUGACUCAGAGUCCAGAGUCCUCAAGCUGUGGGACAAGGACAAGCUUCAUGCAGAGAAUACCCAAGCUAAAAUUUACUGCAAUUCACAUGUUUUGAAUUAGUCAAUCUUGAAUUGUUUAAUGAUGAUAGCUAUCUUGCACCGUACUAUAAAAUCAUGGAAGCACUCUUGUUCCUCUCACACUUCAUGGGCGACAUCCACAAGCCACUGCAUGUGUGGUCCUCCUGUGACAAAGGAGAUAACACCAUCAACGUCCACUGGUACAGAAGGAAAUCUGUACUCCACCAUAUGCUGGCCUUCAUUCAUGUUUUGUCGUGAGGUCCAGGAUGAACAAGUUGGGAGAAGCAUUGGAGCUAGUUAUACUGUGAUAGCUGUGUUACCUGAUGUGAACAUUCUUUUAUUGUAAACCUGAUGUGAACCAUGUUUGAUUGUAAUAAUGUGCCAAGUUUGGCUCUUUCUGAUUGUAUUCAUGAUGUGAACCAUAUUUUUCUGGAUUAGUCGUGCUCUGUUUGAAGCA